UGCCGGAUUGUGUAGCGGUAGCACAGGGGACUUUGGAUCCUCUAGCCCAGGUUCGAAUCCUGGUCCGGCAGCCA
RNAcentral lists this transfer RNA (74 nucleotides) under Chloroflexota bacterium. RNAcentral's name for it is "tRNA-Gln". It matches the Rfam family "tRNA". Rfam says of the family: Transfer RNA (tRNA) molecules are approximately 80 nucleotides in length. Their secondary structure includes four short double-helical elements and three loops (D, anti-codon, and T loops). RNAcentral also lists the same sequence under 3 other names. The record is from RNAcentral. Lineage: Bacteria; Bacillati; Chloroflexota.